RNAcentral lists this ribosomal RNA (394 nucleotides) under uncultured bacterium. RNAcentral's name for it is "partial 16S ribosomal RNA". It matches the Rfam family "Bacterial small subunit ribosomal RNA", at positions 338 to 729 of the family's 1533-position model. The record is from RNAcentral.
CCUACGGGUGGCAGCAGUGAGGAAUAUUGGUCAAUGGGCGCAAGCCUGAACCAGCCAAGUAGCGUGAAGGAUGACUGUCCUACGGAUUGUAAACUUCUUUUGUAAAGGAAUAAAGUGAGGCACGUGUGCCUGUUUGUAUGUACUUUAUGAAUAAGGAUCGGCUAACUCCGUGCCAGCAGCCGCGGUAAUACGGAGGAUCCGAGCGUUAUCCGGAUUUAUUGGGUUUAAAGGGAGCGUAGAUGGGUUGUUAAGUCAGGUGUGAAAGGUUGCGGCUCAACCGCAAAAUUGCAAUUGAUACUGGCAGUCUUGAGAAGAGGUGAGGUAGGCGGAAUUCGUGGUGUAGCGGUGAAAUGCUUAGAUAUUACGAAGAACUCCGAUUGCGAAGGCAGCUUAC